RNAcentral lists this transfer RNA (78 nucleotides) under Yarrowia sp. B02. Its description in RNAcentral is "tRNA-Asn". It matches the Rfam family "tRNA". Rfam says of the family: Transfer RNA (tRNA) molecules are approximately 80 nucleotides in length. Their secondary structure includes four short double-helical elements and three loops (D, anti-codon, and T loops). The record is from RNAcentral. Lineage: Eukaryota; Fungi; Ascomycota; Dipodascomycetes; Dipodascales.
GACUGAGUGGCCAAGUUGGUUAAGGCGUACGACUGUUAGACUAUCGUAAGAUCGAGAGUUCGACCCUCUCCUCGGUCG